This 253-nucleotide ribosomal RNA is filed under the name uncultured bacterium. RNAcentral's name for it is "partial 16S ribosomal RNA". It matches the Rfam family "Bacterial small subunit ribosomal RNA", at positions 524 to 776 of the family's 1533-position model. The record is from RNAcentral.
UACGUAGGGGCCGAGCGUUGUCCGGAAUUACUGGGCGUAAAGCGCGCGCAGGCGGCUGAUCAAGCCUGACGUGAAAGCCCCCGGCUCAACCGGGGAGGGUCGUCGGGGACUGGUUGGCUUGAGGGGGGCAGGGGCCGGUGGAAUUCCCGGUGUAGUGGUGAAAUGCGUAGAGAUCGGGAGGAACACCAGUGGCGAAGGCGGCCGGCUGGGCCGACCCUGACGCUGAGGCGCGAAGGCGUGGGGAGCGAACGGG